Molecule: transfer RNA, 74 nt
Filed under: Danionella translucida
Lineage: Eukaryota; Metazoa; Chordata; Actinopteri; Cypriniformes; Danionidae
Also listed under: 1 other name
Rfam family: tRNA
About the family: Transfer RNA (tRNA) molecules are approximately 80 nucleotides in length.
Source: Rfam by way of RNAcentral
GUCUCUGUGGCGCAAUCGGUUAGCAUGUUCGGCUGUUAACUAAAAGGUUGGUGGUUCAAGCCCACCCAUGGACG